CGUAGAAGGCUAGUGUUAGUUAUCUUUAUUGGGUUUAAAGGGUAAGUAGACGGUAAAUAAACUUAAAAUCAAGUAGUUAUUUACUAGAGUUAUAUAGGAGAAGGGAAGAAUGACUGGAGUAGAGAUAAAAUUCGUUGAUACCAGUAGGACUGUUAACGGCGAAGGCAACCUUCUAUCUAAUAACUGACGUUGAGAGACGAAGGCUUGGGUAGCAAACAGGAUU
RNAcentral lists this ribosomal RNA (223 nucleotides) under uncultured bacterium. RNAcentral's name for it is "partial 16S ribosomal RNA". It matches the Rfam family "Bacterial small subunit ribosomal RNA", at positions 526 to 779 of the family's 1533-position model. The record is from RNAcentral.